CAUGCAGUCGAGCGGUAAGGCCUUUCGGGGUACACGAGCGGCGAACGGGUGAGUAACACGUGGGUGAUCUGCCCUGCACUUCGGGAUAAGCCUGGGAAACUGGGUCUAAUACCGGAUAUGACCUCCUAUCGCAUGGUGGGUGGUGGAAAGAUUUAUCGGUGCAGGAUGGGCCCGCGGCCUAUCAGCUUGUUGGUGGGGUAAUGGCCUACCAAGGCGACGACGGGUAGCCGACCUGAGAGGGUGACCGGCCACACUGGGACUGAGACACGGCCCAGACUCCUACGGGAGGCAGCAGUGGGGAAUAUUGCACAAUGGGCGAAAGCCUGAUGCAGCGACGCCGCGUGAGGGAUGACGGCCUUCGGGUUGUAAACCUCUUUCAGCAGGGACGAAGCGCAAGUGACGGUACCUGCAGAAGAAGCACCGGCUAACUACGUGCCAGCAGCCGCGGUAAUACGUAGGGUGCAAGCGUUGUCCGGAAUUACUGGGCGUAAAGAGUUCGUAGGCGGUUUGUCGCGUCGUUUGUGAAAACCAGCAGCUCAACUGCUGGCUUGCAGGCGAUACGGGCAGACUUGAGUACUGCAGGGGAGACUGGAAUUCCUGGUGUAGCGGUGAAAUGCGCAGAUAUCAGGAGGAACACCGGUGGCGAAGGCGGGUCUCUGGGCAGUAACUGACGCUGAGGAACGAAAGCGUGCGUAGCGAACAGGAUUAGAUACCCUGGGUAGUCCACGCCGUAAACGGUGGGCGCUAGGUGUGGGUUCCUUCCUCGGACUCCGUGCGGUAGCUAACGCAUUAAGCGCCCCGCCUGGGGAGUACGGCCGCAGGCCUAAAACUCAAAGGAAUUGACAGGGGGCCGCACAAGCGGCGGAGCAUGUGCUUUAAUUCGAUGCAACGCGAAAAACUUAACUGGGUUUGACAUAUACCGGAAAGCUGCAGAGAUGUGGCCCCCCUUGUGGUCGGUAUACAGGUGGUGCAUGGCUGUCGUCAGCUCGUGUCGUGAGAUGUU
This 1003-nucleotide ribosomal RNA is filed under the name Rhodococcus sp. AMF3687. Its description in RNAcentral is "bacterial SSU rRNA". It matches the Rfam family "Bacterial small subunit ribosomal RNA", at positions 54 to 1076 of the family's 1533-position model. The record is from RNAcentral. Lineage: Bacteria; Bacillati; Actinomycetota; Actinomycetes; Mycobacteriales; Nocardiaceae.